RNAcentral lists this small RNA (28 nucleotides) under Bombyx mori (domestic silkworm). RNAcentral describes it as "ovarian small RNA-18313". The record is from RNAcentral. Lineage: Eukaryota; Metazoa; Arthropoda; Insecta; Lepidoptera; Bombycidae.
UAAAGCAAUGCUAACUUCCGUUAUCGAG